RNAcentral lists this ribosomal RNA (482 nucleotides) under uncultured bacterium. RNAcentral's name for it is "partial 16S ribosomal RNA". It matches the Rfam family "Bacterial small subunit ribosomal RNA", at positions 32 to 507 of the family's 1533-position model. The record is from RNAcentral.
AUUCAACGCUGGCGGCAUGCCUUACACAUGCAAGUCGAACGGUAACGGGCCUUCGGGUGCCGACGAGUGGCGAACGGGUGAGUAAUACAUCGGAACGUGCCCGAUCGUGGGGGAUAACGAGGCGAAAGCUUUGCUAAUACCGCAUACGAUCUACGGAUGAAAGCAGGGGACCGCAAGGCCUUGCGCGGACGGAGCGGCCGAUGGCAGAUUAGGUAGUUGGUGGGAUAAAAGCUUACCAAGCCGACGAUCUGUAGCUGGUCUGAGAGGAUGAUCAGCCACACUGGGACUGAGACACGGCCCAGACUCCUACGGGAGGCAGCAGUGGGGAAUUUUGGACGAUGGGCGCAAGCCUGAUCCAGCCAUGCCGCGUGCAGGAUGAAGGCCUUCGGGUUGUAAACUGCUUUUGUACGGAACGAAAAGCCUUCUUUUAAUACAGGAGGGUCAUGACGGUACCGUAAGAAUAAGCACCGGCUAACUACGUG